GGGGUUGUGAAACAGCGGCCGUUACACCGUGGGAGGUGUGUAACGGCCGAGGGUCGGUGGCGUAACCUGUAGGGAGGGAGCCGCCUAGGGCGGGAGAGAUGACUGGGGGGAAGUCGGAACAAGGUAGCCGUAGGAGAACCUGCGGCGGGAUCACCUCCUUUCUAAGGAA
RNAcentral lists this ribosomal RNA (169 nucleotides) under Limosilactobacillus reuteri. Its description in RNAcentral is "Lactobacillus reuteri partial 16S ribosomal RNA". It matches the Rfam family "Bacterial small subunit ribosomal RNA", at positions 1376 to 1533 of the family's 1533-position model. The record is from RNAcentral. Lineage: Bacteria; Bacillati; Bacillota; Bacilli; Lactobacillales; Lactobacillaceae.